This 253-nucleotide ribosomal RNA is filed under the name uncultured bacterium. Its description in RNAcentral is "partial 16S ribosomal RNA". It matches the Rfam family "Bacterial small subunit ribosomal RNA", at positions 524 to 776 of the family's 1533-position model. The record is from RNAcentral.
UACAGAGGUCUCAAGCGUUGUUCGGAUUCAUUGGGCGUAAAGGGUGCGUAGGCGGCGCGGUAAGUCGGGUGUGAAAUCUCGGAGCUUAACUCCGAAACUGCAUUGGAAACUACCUCGCUAGAGGGUUGGAGGGGGGACUGGAAUGCUUGGUGUAGCAGUGAAAUGCGUAGAUAUCAAGCGGAACACCAGUGGCGAAGGCGAGUCCCUGGACAACUCCUGACACUGAGGCACGAAAGCUAGGGGAGCAAACAGG